This 484-nucleotide ribosomal RNA is filed under the name uncultured bacterium. RNAcentral's name for it is "partial 16S ribosomal RNA". It matches the Rfam family "Bacterial small subunit ribosomal RNA", at positions 30 to 507 of the family's 1533-position model. The record is from RNAcentral.
AUUGAACGCUGGCGGCAGGCCUAACACAUGCAAGUCGAGCGGAUGAAGGGAGCUUGCUCCUGGAUUCAGCGGCGGACGGGUGAGUAAUGCCUAGGAAUCUGCCUGGUAGUGGGGGAUAACGUCCGGAAACGGGCGCUAAUACCGCAUACGUCCUGAGGGAGAAAGUGGGGGAUCUUCGGACCUCACGCUAUCAGAUGAGCCUAGGUCGGAUUAGCUAGUUGGUGGGGUAAAGGCCUACCAAGGCGACGAUCCGUAACUGGUCUGAGAGGAUGAUCAGUCACACUGGAACUGAGACACGGUCCAGACUCCUACGGGAGGCAGCAGUGGGGAAUAUUGGACAAAGGGCGAAAGCCUGACCCAGCCAUGCCGCGUGUGUGAAGAAGGUCUUCGGAUUGUAAAGCACUUUAAGUUGGGAGGAAGGGCAGUAAGUUAAUACCUUGCUGUUUUGACGUUACCAACAGAAUAAGCACCGGCUAACUUCGUG